RNAcentral lists this ribosomal RNA (494 nucleotides) under uncultured bacterium. RNAcentral describes it as "partial 16S ribosomal RNA". It matches the Rfam family "Bacterial small subunit ribosomal RNA", at positions 28 to 507 of the family's 1533-position model. The record is from RNAcentral.
GACGAACGCUGGCGGCGUGCUUAACACAUGCAAGUCGAGCGGAAGGGCCUGCUUUCCCUUGUGGAUUGCGGGUACUCGAGUGGCGAACGGGUGAGUAACACGUGAGUGAUCUGCCCCCAACUUGGGUAUAAGCCUGGGAAACUGGGUCUAAUUCCCGAUAGGACUGCAGGGUGGUGCCUGUGGUGGAAAACGAUUUUCUAGUGGUUGGGGAUGAGCUCGCGGCCUAUCAGCUUGUUGGUGGGGUAAUGGCCUACCAAGGCGGCGACGGGUAGCCGGCCUGAGAGGGUGGACGGCCACAUUGGGACUGAGAUACGGCCCAGACUCCUACGGGAGGCAGCAGUGGGGAAUAUUGCACAAUGGGCGGAAGCCUGAUGCAGCGACGCCGCGUGGGGGAUGACGGCCUUCGGGUUGUAAACUCCUUUCGACCGCGAGGAAGCCACCUGGUUGGAAGGGUGGUGACGGUAGUGGUAGAAGAAGCACCGGCUAACUACGUG